AUGGACGAGCCGGCGAUUAAACAGUUAAUAGCAAACGAGGUGCAUAACGCUGUCCAGAGUUCUCAGAAUUCCAUGCUUUCCAGAAUCGACAAUCUGAUGAGUAACAAGCUAGGUUCUUUUGAAAGUUCCAUGAAAGAAUCCCAGAGGCAGCUGUCCGAUAGCCAAAUUGCAAAGAUAGAAGAAUUGACAACAGACAAUUACGAGUUCAAACGGAAGGGUAAUAAAGAACAGCACAAGAUCAACACCAAAAUCAUCAAGAAGAUGAAAGAAGCCCAAUCUAACCUUCAAGACAGUCCAAUGCGAAACGAUCAGAUAGAUUCAGCAACCCAAAGAAUUGGUGAAGGUAUUGAUUUGCUAACACAUAGGCAAAAACUUGUGAAGAUGGCUGAUCGAUCAGAAAGCGGGUGGAAGACGGUAGAGGAAUACCAGACGAACAGUCUAGCAGAUAAUUCCGAAGACGAGAAAAGAAUACGCAGAGCUGAUGUUAGAGCUGCACAGAAAAUGAAGGCAGAGAGAAAGACAAAGAAGAGUAGAUUUACCCCCUUUUCGCACCCCACAUCAACCAGAUCGAGUGCACCCAUACCUGUUCAGACAUCAUUACCUGUACACAGACCAGGGAAAUGCUACGAAUGUGGAAAAUCAGGUCAUUGGCGUAAAGAUCACGCUGCAAUGAAGCAGAGCUUUGAUAAGAUAAGUAUUGACUUUGAAUAUUUAUCAGAUUGUCAAGAUUUCGAAGAAUUCGGUAUUUCCGAUUCUGAAAAUAAAAAGUAUGAUUGUUUAAACAAGUCUAGUUUUCUAAACGAAAACAACAUGUCGAUAAGUAAACAAGUAGAUAAUAGAUCGCCGAUAGGCAUGCUUAAAAAGGCUUUUAAUCAUUGGACAAAAUCAGGUGCUAAUGAUCAAGUAUUAGACGUGAUCAAGAACGGGUAUAAACUACCUUUUUACACUGUACCAAGCAUUUGUUUUUUAAAAAACAACAGAUCGGCAUUAGAUAAUCCUGAAUUUGUACAUAGUGAGAUAGAAAAAUUAAUUAGUUUAGGUUGUGUGUCAAAAGUAGAUCUCAUACCAAAAGUAGUAAAUCCUUUGACAGUAGCUAAAAAUAAGGAUAAGUUGAGAUUAGUUUUAGACGCCAGGCAUGUUAAUCCGCACUUGCAUAAAUUUAGAUUUAAGUAUGAAGAUGCAAGUGAUGCAGCAAAUUUGUUUAACAAGCAAGAUUAUCUGUUUUCAUAUGAUUUAAAAUCCGCAUACCAUCAUAUUGAGAUAUUUUCUGAACAUAAAACAUAUCUUGGAUUUGCGUGGGAAAUUUCAGGAAAGAUUUCAUAUUAUGUUUUUAAUGUAUUGCCAUUUGGUAUUUCAACAGCUGGUUACAUUUUCACUAAAGUUACUAGACCGGUAGUACAGUAUUUUAGACAAAAAGGUAUAAAAAUCAUCAUGUAUUUAGAUGAUGGCAUAGGUGGAGGGGAACAUUAUGAGAAAGCAUUAGAAAUAAGUAAUCAAGUGCACACAGAAUUGCAAAUGUUUGGGUUUCUUAUAGCAGAACAAAAAUGCAAUUGGCAACCGUCUCAGACAGUUAAAUGGUUAGGUUUAAUAUGGGACAUGUGUGUUGGUAAGGUUUAUGCGUCACCUGAACGAUUAGAUAAACUGAGAAAUUUUUUAAAACACUUUCUCGAGAAAGUUUCUUCAGGAAACUGCUUCUUUAAAGCGAGGCUAGUGGCUUCAUUGGUAGGUCAGAUAAUUUCUAUGCAAGCAGCUACGGGUAGUGUGGUUAGAUUGAGAACUAGGAGUCUUUAUGAAUGCAUAAUGCAAAAAGCUAGUUGGGAUUCGCCAGUUUUAAUUAAAGAAAUGGCAUUUGAUGAAGUCGUUUUCUGGAAGGAAAACGUUGAGUUCCUCAAUGGUAAGGAACUGUUAGACGAGAAAGUCUGCACCAGUGUGGUGUACACCGAUGCCUCUGGUACAGGCUUCGGUGGGUAUAUAGUAGAGUAUGAAGAAAGCGAAGUAAUAGGUUUAUGGAAACCUGAUGAACAAGUAAAAAGUUCAACUUGGCGUGAACUUGAGGCAGUUUACAGAAUGCUUAUGUCGAAAUUGAACUAUUUGAAGGGUCAAAAAGUUCUAUGGAGAACUGACAAUCAGAACGUUGUACACAUAUUAUGUAAAGGUAGUGUCAAGUCAGAUCUACAAACAAUCGCAAUAAAUAUUGCAGACAUAUGUACAUGUACUAGGGAAAAAAUUCAGUUAAGCCCACAAUGGAUAACUGAUAACGUAAAAGCUGAUUUAUUCAGUAAAACGUCAGAUUGUGAUGACUGGGAAAUCAAAGAAUAUAUUUUCAACCAUUUUGAUAAAAAGUGGGGUAGAUAUUCAAUAGACAGAUUCGCGUCAGAUUACAAUAAAAAAUGCAUACGCUUUAAUUCAAAACAUUGGUGCACAGGUACCGAAGGUAUUGAUGCGUUUAAUUAUACAUGGGCAGGAGAGAACAAUUGGAUUGUUCCACCUCCUAGUUUGAUUGCAAAAUGUAUUUUAAAGAUACUAACAAGAACACGUUACAUGUACAUUAGUAAUUCCCAAAUGGACCUCAGCAGCCUUUUGGCCAAUGUUAGUGACUGAGGGGGGGAAACUGAAAACUUUUAUUGUAGAGUCAGAAAGUUUCUCCUCAAAUCAUAUUUUACGAGGAAGGGAAAAAAACGGUAUUUUUGGUAUGUACAAAUCUGUAUUUGACAUGAUGGCAUUAAAAAUUUGUUUUUAAUUCGUUUAAAAACACAUGUGUAUAGAACAUAACAGCUGUUACAAAUUGGAACAAUUAUUUUAUGCAACGAAAUAGAUAUUUAUUGUUUUAAUUUAUUUUGACAGGGAUUCAACUAGGACAAACAAUAGAAGACGAAAUAUUGGCAGCUGGUGUGACGUCAGAUAACUUUUCAACUUUAGCCGAUCGAAUGGUACAUUUUUUAUUACAUUCUAGAAGUGACAAUACAACUAAAUUAUAUCAUGGUGCUUUUCGGAGAUUCGAGAAAUUCAUCAUUUCUGAAGGCGGAGUGGCAAUUCCAGCAGAACCUAUUCACGUGUCAUUGUAUUUAACCAAACUUUUAGACAGUGGUUCUUCGCACAGUGUUUUACAAACUGCUUUUUAUGCUAUUAAGUGGGCGCAUAAUAUAAACAAUUUCGAUGAUCCGACAGAUAAUAAUUUCGCCAAAAAUUUGUUAGAAUCCUCAAAAAGACAAGAGCAUAGUCCAAAAGUUAAGAAAGAUAUUAUUGACUCAGCUGAUAUAGUUAAGCUUUGUGAAAAGUAUAUUUAUAAUGAGGACAUAGGUGUAAUUAGGGAUUUAGUUAUGAUAGUGCUUGGUUACUCUGGGUUUUUUACGAUUUAGUGAAAUCAGUAAUAUAAAAUACAAAGACGUUAAAUUUUUGUGAAUCACAUAUCGAUAUUACUAUAGAAAAGAGUAAAACCGAUCAAUACAGAUUAGGUGACUCGAUAGUUAUUGCCAAAGGUCAAUCCGCAGCAUGUCCUUUUAUUUUACUAAAAAAGUAUUUAAAUUUAGCUAAGAUUAGUUCGUCAGAUGAAUUCCUAUUCAGACCUAUUUUUAGAUCAGGCAGAUAUUAUAGUUUGAUAUAUAAAAACAAACCACUUAGUUACACUAGGGCUAGAGAAUGUAUUGUCAAUCGUUUGAAAGAAGUUUGUAAAAAUUUGAAUAUUGGUUUGCAUUCACUGAGAGCUAGUGGUGCUACAAAAGCAGCGAAUUCCAAUGUAAGCGACAGGUGUUGGAAACGUCAUGGUCGUUGGAAAAGCGACUCGGCAAAAGACGGGUAUGUCGCUGAUUCAUUAGAACAUAGAUUAGAAGUGACCAAGCAUUUAGGUAUUUGA
Molecule: small RNA, 3853 nt
Filed under: Mytilus galloprovincialis (Mediterranean mussel)
Lineage: Eukaryota; Metazoa; Mollusca; Bivalvia; Mytilida; Mytilidae
Source: RNAcentral